RNAcentral lists this unclassified non-coding RNA (142 nucleotides) under uncultured Meliniomyces. RNAcentral describes it as "sequence contains ITS2". The record is from RNAcentral. Lineage: Eukaryota; Fungi; Ascomycota; Leotiomycetes; Helotiales; Helotiaceae.
UAACCACUCAAGCCUAGCUUGGUAUUGGGGUUCGCGUGUUCGCGGCCCUUAAAAUCAGUGGCGGUGCCGUCUGGCUCUAAGCGUAGUAAAUCUCUCGCUAUAGGGUUCCGGCGGUUGCUUGCCAAAACCCCCCAUUUUCUCA